UGGGGAAUUUUGGACAAUGGGCGCAAGCCUGAUCCAGCCACGCCGCGUGCGGGAAGAAGGCCUUCGGGUUGUAAACCGCUUUUGUCAGGGAAGAAAUCUUCUGAGUUAAUACCUCGGGAGGAUGACGGUACCUGAAGAAUAAGCACCGGCUAACUACGUGCCAGCAGCCGCGGUAAUACGUAGGGUGCAAGCGUUAAUCGGAAUUACUGGGCGUAAAGCGUGCGCAGGCGGUUUUGUAAGACAGAGGUGAAAUCCCCGGGCUCAACCUGGGAACUGCCUUUGUGACUGCAAGGCUUGAGUGCGGCAGAGGGGGAUGGAAUUCCGCGUGUAGCAGUGAAAUGCGUAGAUAUGCGGAGGAACACCGAUGGCGAAGGCAAUCCCCUGGGCCUGCACUGACGCUCAUGCACGAAAGCGUGGGGAGCAAAACAGGAUUAGAUACCCUGGUAGUCCACGCCCUAAAACGAUGUCAACUGGUUGUUGGGAAGGUUCCUUCUCAGUAACGUAGCUAACGCGUGAAGUUGACCGCCUGGGGAGUACGGCCGCAAGGUUG
RNAcentral lists this ribosomal RNA (550 nucleotides) under uncultured bacterium. RNAcentral describes it as "partial 16S ribosomal RNA". It matches the Rfam family "Bacterial small subunit ribosomal RNA", at positions 355 to 896 of the family's 1533-position model. The record is from RNAcentral.